GAAGGUAUGGCUCAGUGGUAGAGCACAUGCUUAGUAUGCACAAGGUCCUGGGUUCAAUCCUCAGUACCUCCA
Molecule: transfer RNA, 72 nt
Filed under: Camelus bactrianus (Bactrian camel)
Lineage: Eukaryota; Metazoa; Chordata; Mammalia; Artiodactyla; Camelidae
Also listed under: 2 other names
Rfam family: tRNA
About the family: Transfer RNA (tRNA) molecules are approximately 80 nucleotides in length. Their secondary structure includes four short double-helical elements and three loops (D, anti-codon, and T loops). Further hydrogen bonds mediate the characteristic L-shaped molecular structure. tRNAs have two regions of fundamental functional importance: the anti-codon, which is responsible for specific mRNA codon recognition, and the 3' end, to which the tRNAs corresponding amino acid is attached (by aminoacyl-tRNA synthetases). tRNAs cope with the degeneracy of the genetic code in two manners: having more than one tRNA (with a specific anti-codon) for a particular amino acid; and 'wobble' base-pairing, i.e. permitting non-standard base-pairing at the 3rd anti-codon position.
Source: Rfam by way of RNAcentral